RNAcentral lists this ribosomal RNA (382 nucleotides) under Chaetostoma fischeri. RNAcentral describes it as "partial 16S ribosomal RNA". It matches the Rfam family "Bacterial large subunit ribosomal RNA", at positions 1998 to 2543 of the family's 2925-position model. Lineage: Eukaryota; Metazoa; Chordata; Actinopteri; Siluriformes; Loricariidae. The record is from RNAcentral.
GGUGGAACGAGGGCUUAACUGUCUCCCCCCUCUAGUCAAUGAAAUUGAUCUACCCGUGCAGAAGCGGGCAUAGAAAUACAAGACGAGAAGACCCUUUGGAGCUUAAGACAAAAGACCAACUACGUCAAAAGUCCUAAAAACUAAACCAAGUAGAACUGGUCCCAAUCUUCGGUUGGGGCGACCGCGGGAGAAAACAAAGCUCCCAUGCGGACUGGGGCACCCCUAAAACUAAGAGAGACAUCUCCAAGACACAGAACAUCUGACCAAAAAGAUCCGGCCACACGCCGACCAACGGACCAAGUUACCCUAGGGAUAACAGCGCAAUCCCCUUCCAGAGUCCAUAUCGACAAGGGGGUUUACGACCUCGAUGUUGGAUCAGGAC